This 253-nucleotide ribosomal RNA is filed under the name uncultured bacterium. RNAcentral's name for it is "partial 16S ribosomal RNA". It matches the Rfam family "Bacterial small subunit ribosomal RNA", at positions 524 to 776 of the family's 1533-position model. The record is from RNAcentral.
GACAGAGGGUGCAAACGUUGUUCGGAAUUACUGGGCGUAGAGCGCGUGUAGGCGGCCAUCUAAGUCGGGCGUGAAAUCCCACGGCUCAACCGUGGAAGUGCACUCGAAACUGGAUGGCUAGAGUCCUGGAGAGGAAGGUGGAAUGCUUGGUGUAGAGGUGAAAUUCGUAGAUAUCAAGCGGAACACCGGUGGCGAAGGCGGCCUUCUGGACAGUGACUGACGCUGAGACGCGAAAGCGUGGGGAGCAAACAGG